This 161-nucleotide ribosomal RNA is filed under the name Fusarium proliferatum. RNAcentral describes it as "5.8S ribosomal RNA". It matches the Rfam family "5.8S ribosomal RNA". Rfam says of the family: 5.8S ribosomal RNA (5.8S rRNA) is a component of the large subunit of the eukaryotic ribosome. It is transcribed by RNA polymerase I as part of the 45S precursor that also contains 18S and 28S rRNA. The record is from RNAcentral. Lineage: Eukaryota; Fungi; Ascomycota; Sordariomycetes; Hypocreales; Nectriaceae.
AAAACUUUCAACAACGGAUCUCUUGGUUCUGGCAUCGAUGAAGAACGCAGCAAAAUGCGAUAAGUAAUGUGAAUUGCAGAAUUCAGUGAAUCAUCGAAUCUUUGAACGCACAUUGCGCCCGCCAGUAUUCUGGCGGGCAUGCCUGUUCGAGCGUCAUUUCA